AACAGAAAGAGGAGAGAAAGGAGAGGAGACACUGAAGAGAGGAUUGUUGGAGUAACAGUCCCAGGAGUGGAAUGCAGCUGAUAUUUAUGGAAUGAAACACAGAGUACACAGAGGGACAUUUGCAAUAUUAUGUUGAAAAUACUGCUCCAGAUCUCAAGUUUAGGAACCAAAGAUCCUGUUCUGGCACCUGAACAGCUGAGUAGGAGAGCCCAUAACAUGAGGAUUCCCCUGCUGCUGUUCUGUGAUCAGACCCAGAGUACAACAUGAGAUCAAGAUGUGCCCAAAUAUAUGGGACUGGGCUAGAAAUAGCCCUGGCAAAUGAUCUGUACUUAGAUGGAAUUAGAAUGUGAGUGCUUGGUGGAGGGCAAAAUGCAUGUCUGAAUUUUCCAGCUUGAUGCAUUUUCUAAAAUCAGAGGAAAAUCUGAAUAAAAAUCUUUUUCUUAGGGGGAUUUUAUAGAAA
This 460-nucleotide long non-coding RNA is filed under the name Junco hyemalis (dark-eyed junco). RNAcentral's name for it is "lncRNA (ENSJHYG00000000713.1)". The record is from RNAcentral. Lineage: Eukaryota; Metazoa; Chordata; Aves; Passeriformes; Passerellidae.